GCGUCCUUAGUGUCAAUGUAGCACGGGAGUCUCCAAAACUUCAAGACUAGGUUCAAAUCCUAGAGGGCGUGUCA
This 74-nucleotide transfer RNA is filed under the name Bacillus phage pW2. Its description in RNAcentral is "tRNA-Trp". It matches the Rfam family "tRNA". Rfam says of the family: Transfer RNA (tRNA) molecules are approximately 80 nucleotides in length. Their secondary structure includes four short double-helical elements and three loops (D, anti-codon, and T loops). Further hydrogen bonds mediate the characteristic L-shaped molecular structure. tRNAs have two regions of fundamental functional importance: the anti-codon, which is responsible for specific mRNA codon recognition, and the 3' end, to which the tRNAs corresponding amino acid is attached (by aminoacyl-tRNA synthetases). tRNAs cope with the degeneracy of the genetic code in two manners: having more than one tRNA (with a specific anti-codon) for a particular amino acid; and 'wobble' base-pairing, i.e. permitting non-standard base-pairing at the 3rd anti-codon position. The record is from RNAcentral. Lineage: Duplodnaviria; Heunggongvirae; Uroviricota; Caudoviricetes.